This 468-nucleotide ribosomal RNA is filed under the name uncultured bacterium. RNAcentral describes it as "partial 16S ribosomal RNA". It matches the Rfam family "Bacterial small subunit ribosomal RNA", at positions 28 to 507 of the family's 1533-position model. The record is from RNAcentral.
GACGAACGCUGGCGGCGUGCUUAACACAUGCAAGUCGAACGGAAAGGCCCUGCUUUUGUGGGGUGCUCGAGUGGCGAACGGGUGAGUAACACGUGAGUAACCUGCCCUUGACUUUGAGAUAACUUCAGGAAACUGGGGCUAAUACCGGAUAGGAGCUCCUGCUGCAUGGUGGGGGUUGGAAAGUUUCGGCGGUUGGGGAUGGACUCGCGGCUUAUCAGCUUGUUGGUGGGGUAGUGGCUUACCAAGGCUUUGACGGGUAGCCGGCCUGAGAGGGUGACCGGCCACAUGGGGACUGAGAUACGGCCCAGACUCCUACGGGAGGCAGCAGUGGGGAAUAUUGCACAAUGGGCGGAAGCCUGAUGCAGCAACGCCGCGUGCGGGAUGACGGCCUUCGGGUUGUAAACCGCUUUCGCCUGUGACGAAGCGUGAGUGACGGUAAUGGGUAAAGAAGCACCGGCUAACUACGUG